AUGAAUGCCCCAUGCUGCGUUUCACCUUUUAGGAAAGUCAAAGAACAAGCAAAGCUCAGUCCAUUCUUAAGACAUUCUGUUCUGAAGAGGACAUUUAAUGUCACGUUGCCAAAUACUUCCCUGAUUACAAGAGAAAACACUUUUCCUAUAGAUCAAAAAGCCAAACAAAAAUACUCAGGAAGCAAAGUAAAAUCUUCUAAAUGGCCCUGGCUGGCUAAUUUAUGGAUGAUGAUUAAAAAACACAGCAUCCAAGCAACACCUAGCAAAGGGCAUAUGGGUAUGGAUAUAUGAAAAUCUGAACUUAAAGUGAAAUAAAAACAAGACACUGGACA
Molecule: long non-coding RNA, 332 nt
Filed under: Vulpes vulpes (red fox)
Lineage: Eukaryota; Metazoa; Chordata; Mammalia; Carnivora; Canidae
Description: lncRNA (ENSVVUG00000007554.1)
Source: RNAcentral